GUAGAGGUAGCUCAAUGCUAGAGCACUUGCCUAGCAUGUAUGAGGCCCUGGGUUCGAUUCUCAGCACCACA
RNAcentral lists this transfer RNA (71 nucleotides) under Marmota monax (woodchuck). It matches the Rfam family "tRNA". Rfam says of the family: Transfer RNA (tRNA) molecules are approximately 80 nucleotides in length. Their secondary structure includes four short double-helical elements and three loops (D, anti-codon, and T loops). The record is from Rfam by way of RNAcentral. Lineage: Eukaryota; Metazoa; Chordata; Mammalia; Rodentia; Sciuridae.